This 472-nucleotide ribosomal RNA is filed under the name uncultured bacterium. RNAcentral describes it as "partial 16S ribosomal RNA". It matches the Rfam family "Bacterial small subunit ribosomal RNA", at positions 28 to 507 of the family's 1533-position model. The record is from RNAcentral.
GACGAACGCUGGCGGCGUGCUUAACACAUGCAAGUCGAACGAUGAACCCGGGGCUUGCUCUGGGGGAUUAGUGGCGAACGGGUGAGUAACACGUGAGUAACCUGCCCUGGACUCUGGGAUAAGCGUUGGAAACGACGUCUAAUACCGGAUAGGACCUUGGAUCGCAUGAUCUGGGGUGGAAAGUUUUUUCGGUCUGGGAUGGACUCGCGGCCUAUCAGCUUGUUGGUGAGGUAAUGGCUCACCAAGGCGUCGACGGGUAGCCGGCCUGAGAGGGUGACCGGCCACACUGAGACUGAGACAGGGACCAGACACAGACGGGAGGAAGCAGACGGGAAUAUAGCAUAUAGGGAGAAAGCAUGAGGCAGCAAUCAAGCGUGCGGGAGGAAGGCCGUCGGGUGGGAAACCGCUGUUAGUAGGGAAGAAGGGCGUCGGCUUGACGGUACCUGAAGAAAAAGGACCGGCUAACUACGUG